RNAcentral lists this ribosomal RNA (484 nucleotides) under uncultured bacterium. RNAcentral describes it as "partial 16S ribosomal RNA". It matches the Rfam family "Bacterial small subunit ribosomal RNA", at positions 30 to 507 of the family's 1533-position model. The record is from RNAcentral.
AUUGAACGCUGGCGGCAGGCCUAACACAUGCAAGUCGCGCGGAUGAAGUUAGCUUGCUCCUUGAUUCAGCGGCGGACGGGUGAUUAAUGCCUAUGAAUCUGCCUGGUAGUGGGGGAUAACGUUCGGAAUCGGGCGCUAAUACCGCAUACGUCCUGAGGGAGAAAGUGGGGGAUCCUCGGACCUCACGCUAUCAGCUGAGCCUAGGUCGGAUUAGCUAGUUGGUGGGGUAAAGGCCUACCAAGGCGACGAUCCGUAACUGGUCUGAGAGGAUGAUCAGUCACACUGGAUCUGAGACACGGUCCAGACUCCUACGGGAGGAAGCAGUGGGGAAUAUUGGACGAUGGGCGAAAGCCUGAUACAGCCAUGCCGCGUGAGUGAAGAAGGUCUUCGGAUUGGAAAGCACAUUAAGUUGGGAGGAAGGGAAGUAAGUUAAUAGCUGGCUGUUUUGACGGUACCAGCAGAAUAAGCACCGGCUAACUUCGUG